This 598-nucleotide ribosomal RNA is filed under the name Holtbyrnia anomala (bighead searsid). RNAcentral's name for it is "partial 12S ribosomal RNA". It matches the Rfam family "Bacterial small subunit ribosomal RNA", at positions 659 to 1491 of the family's 1533-position model. The record is from RNAcentral. Lineage: Eukaryota; Metazoa; Chordata; Actinopteri; Alepocephaliformes; Platytroctidae.
AAGCCGAAGACCCCCUAGGCCGUCAUACGCACCUGGGGGUACGAAGCCCCACCACGAAAGUAGCUUUAUUAAAGCCUACCCGACCCCACGACAGCUAAGAUACAAACUGGGAUUAGAUACCCCACUAUGCUUAGCCGUAAACUUCGAUGUCCUGCCACAGCCGACAUCCGCCAGGGGACUACGAGCACCAGCUUAAAACCCAAAGGACUUGGCGGUGCCUCAGACCCACCUAGAGGAGCCUGUUCUAGAACCGACAACCCCCGUUAAACCUCACCACCCCUUGUUAAACCCGCCUAUAUACCGCCGUNCGUCAGCUCACCCUGUGAAGGCCCCAUAGUAAGCAAAAUGGGCAAAACCCAGAACGUCAGGCCGAGGUGUAGCGUACGAGGUGGGAAGAAAUGGGCUACAUUUUCUGACCCAGAAUAUUACGGACGGCACCAUGAAACGGGUGCCCGAAGGCGGAUUUAGCAGUAAAAAGAAAAUAGAGAGUUCUUUUGAACCCGGCUCUGAGGCGCGCACACACCGCCCGUCACUCUCCCCGCACCCCCAACCUAAAGUAAAUAACAAAAUUAACUCACCAAGGGGAGGCAAGUCGUAA